Molecule: ribosomal RNA, 454 nt
Filed under: uncultured Sphingomonas sp.
Lineage: Bacteria; Pseudomonadati; Pseudomonadota; Alphaproteobacteria; Sphingomonadales; Sphingomonadaceae
Description: bacterial SSU rRNA
Rfam family: Bacterial small subunit ribosomal RNA
Source: RNAcentral
UUUUAGAGUUUGGGAUCUGGCUCAGAACGAACGCUGGCGGCAUGCCUAACACAUGCAAGUCGAACGAGACCUUCGGGUCUAGUGGCGCACGGGUGCGUAACGCGUGGGAAUCUGCCCUUGGGUUCGGAAUAACAGUUAGAAAUGACUGCUAAUACCGGAUGAUGUCUUCGGACCAAAGAUUUAUCGCCCAAGGAUGAGCCCGCGUAGGAUUAGCUAGUUGGUGAGGUAAAAGCUCACCAAGGCGACGAUCCUUAGCUGGUCUGAGAGGAUGAUCAGCCACACUGGGACUGAGACACGGCCCAGACUCCUACGGGAGGCAGCAGUGGGGAAUAUUGGACAAUGGGCGAAAGCCUGAUCCAGCAAUGCCGCGUGAGUGAUGAAGGCCUUAGGGUUGUAAAGCUCUUUUACCCGGGAUGAUAAUGACAGUACCGGGAGAAUAAGCCCCGGCUAACUC